GAUGAACGCCGGCGGCGUGCUUAACACAUGCAAGUCGAACGGAAAGGCUCCUGCUUGCAGGGGUACUCGAGUGGCGAACGGGUGAGUAACACGUGGGUGAUCUGCCCUGCACUUCGGGAUAAGCCUGGGAAACUGGGUCUAAUACCGGAUAGGACCACAUUUUGGAUGGUGUGGUGGAAAGUUUUUCGGUGUGGGAUGAGCUCGCGGCCUAUCAGCUUGUUGGUGGGGUAAUGGCCUACCAAGGCGUCGACGGGUAGCCGGCCUGAGAGGGUGUACGGCCACAUUGGGACUGAGAUACGGCCCAGACUCCUACGGGAGGCAGCAGUGGGGAAUAUUGCACAAUGGGCGCAAGCCUGAUGCAGCGACGCCGCGUGGGGGAUGACGGCCUUCGGGUUGUAAACUCCUUUCGCUAGGGACGAAGCGCAAGUGACGGUACCUGGAGAAGAAGCACCAGCUAACUACGUG
RNAcentral lists this ribosomal RNA (465 nucleotides) under uncultured bacterium. RNAcentral describes it as "partial 16S ribosomal RNA". It matches the Rfam family "Bacterial small subunit ribosomal RNA", at positions 28 to 507 of the family's 1533-position model. The record is from RNAcentral.